Long non-coding RNA from Stegostoma tigrinum, 287 nucleotides. RefSeq lists it as uncharacterized. The transcript is spliced from 3 exons. The record is from RefSeq and is a predicted model, not a curated record. NCBI's taxonomy places the organism in Eukaryota, Metazoa, Chordata, Chondrichthyes, Orectolobiformes, Stegostomatidae.
GCACAAUCUACAGCAGUACUACGGCAGAAAUGCGGGAGGUAUCACUAAGUAUGGAGUCCUUAAUUCCAGAUAUCCAAGCAGGGAUCAAGUACUGGUUAAAAGGUUUAACAGGAAGGUGUUGAUGCCCAGAUGGAAGGACCAUAUGAUGUGCUGCUAAUAACCAACUGCAGUUAAAAUAAGAAGAAAACCUAAGAUUGUAUGCAAUACUACACACGGUGCUGACCUUAAUCCUCCAGUGUAGUAACACGUGGGCAUUAUUGACUGCUGAAACAAAAAGAAAGGUGAAC